Molecule: unclassified non-coding RNA, 228 nt
Filed under: Hevea brasiliensis (rubber tree)
Lineage: Eukaryota; Viridiplantae; Streptophyta; Magnoliopsida; Malpighiales; Euphorbiaceae
Source: RNAcentral
UGGAAUUAUGAUGUAUGACCUUGUUGCAUCAGUUUCUGUGUCCUGUUUCAAGAGGAAAAAGAAUGGCGAUCCCUCCGUGCAAGACGAAGUGUUGGCUGUCAUCGAUCCCACCGCAGAAGAGGAAGCCUGUGAAGACGGAAGCUUCAUGAUCUCGCUCAUGGCCUCUCGUAACGAAGUCACUCAGCUCACGACCACUGGAGAAUGGUCAGUGGCCAAACUGGACGAGGG